GACGAACGCUGGCGGCGUGCUUAACACAUGCAAGUCGAACGGAAAGGCCCUGCUUUUGUGGGGUGCUCGAGUGGCGAACGGGUGAGUAACACGUGAGUAACCUGCCCUUGACCUUGGGAUAACUUCAGGAAACUGGGGCUAAUACCGGAUAGGAGCUCCUGCUGCAUGGCGGGUGCUGGAAAGUUUCGGCGGUUGGGGAUGGACUCGCGGCUUAUCAGCUUGUUGGUGGGGUAGUGGCUUACCAAGGCGUUGACGGGUAGCCGGCCUGGGAGGGUGACCGGCCACAUUGGGACUGGGGUGCGGGCCAGAGUGCUACGGGUGGCAGGAGUGGGGAAUAUUGCGCGAUGGGCGGAGGCCUGGUGCAGCGACGCCGCGUGGGGGAUGACGGCCGUCGGGGUGGAAAGCGCGUGCGCCUGUGACGAAGCGUGAGUGACGGUAAUGGGUAAAGAAGCGACGGCUAACUACGUG
This 468-nucleotide ribosomal RNA is filed under the name uncultured bacterium. RNAcentral describes it as "partial 16S ribosomal RNA". It matches the Rfam family "Bacterial small subunit ribosomal RNA", at positions 28 to 507 of the family's 1533-position model. The record is from RNAcentral.